AUAUUGAGCCGGAAUAACGGAUUACAUUGAUGUUGUAAAUCAUGGACAUAUUAUGCACCCAAUAUCCGUGUCAAUAUU
RNAcentral lists this transfer RNA (78 nucleotides) under Nautilus pompilius. RNAcentral's name for it is "tRNA-Ile". The record is from RNAcentral. Lineage: Eukaryota; Metazoa; Mollusca; Cephalopoda; Nautilida; Nautilidae.